Molecule: ribosomal RNA, 728 nt
Filed under: Typhlocharis sp. 4 aff. baetica CA-2017
Lineage: Eukaryota; Metazoa; Arthropoda; Insecta; Coleoptera; Carabidae
Description: partial 18S ribosomal RNA
Source: RNAcentral
UCCUGGUGGUGCCCUUCCGUCAAUUCCUUUAAGUUUCAGCUUUGCAACCAUACUUCCCCCGGAACCCAAAAGCUUUGGUUUCCCGGAAGCUGCCCGCCGAGUCAUCGGAGGAACGUCGGCGGAUCGCUAGCUGGCAUCGUUUAUGGUCAGAACUAGGGCGGUAUCUGAUCGCCUUCGAACCUCUGACUUUCGUUCUUGAUUAAUGAAAACAUUUUUGGCAAAUGCUUUCGCUUCUGUCCGUCUUGCGACGAUCCAAGAAUUUCACCUCUAACGUCGCAAUACGAAUGCCCCCAUCUGUCCCUAUUAAUCAUUACCUCGGGGUUCCGAAAACCAACAAAAUAGAACCGAGGUCCUGUUCCAUUAUUCCAUGCACACAGUAUUCAGGCGAAAUUUUAGCCUGCUUUGAGCACUCUAAUUUGUUCAAAGUAAACGUGCCGGCCCGCCUCGACACUCAAUUAAGAGCACCGCGACAGGAUUAUUGAGUCGGACGGUAAAGCGCCUGCAACCCCACCACAUCAUACAGUAACAACCGAAGUUGCACACGCACAAUGGGGAAGCAUACAGGGUCUACGCGUCCACCGGCAGGACGUUCCGCGGACGUGCCAGUUAAACACCGCGGGCGGUGAACCGACAGCGCGGAACACAAAUUCAACUACGAGCUUUUUAACCGCAACAACUUUAAUAUACGCUAUUGGAGCUGGAAUUACCGCGGCUGCUGGCACCAGACU